GACGAACGUUGGCGGCGUGCUUAAUACAUGCAAGUCAACUGAAGCAGUGGUAGCAAUAUCGCUGUGGAGGUGGCGCACGGGUGAGUAACACGUAGGUAAUCUGCCUUCAGGUCUGGCAUAACUCCGGGAAACCGGGGCUAAUAGCAGAUGAUGCAGCGGCUCGACAUCGAGACAGUUGUUAAAGCUAUGGCGCCUGAAGAUGAGCCUGCGUCUGAUUAGCUAGUUGGCGGGGUAACGGCCCACCAAGGCAACGAUCAGUAGCUGGUCUGAGAGGAUGAUCAGCCACACUGGAACUGAGACACGGUCCAGACUCCUAAGGGAGGCAGAAGUAAGGAAUAUUGCUCAAUGGGAGAAAUCCUGAAGCAGCAACGCCGCGUGAGGGACGAAGGGCUUUUGCUUGUAAACCUCUGUAGUGAGAGAAAAAAAUCCCAAUCUUUGGGACAUGAUGGUAUCUCAAAAGUAAGCCCCGGCUAACUACGUG
This 481-nucleotide ribosomal RNA is filed under the name uncultured bacterium. Its description in RNAcentral is "partial 16S ribosomal RNA". It matches the Rfam family "Bacterial small subunit ribosomal RNA", at positions 28 to 507 of the family's 1533-position model. The record is from RNAcentral.